GGUAGCCCUCCAUGGACUUCGGGCCGCAAGGCACGCGGCCAUGCGACGCCGAGAGUCGUUCGGUCGAGCGCGUCCAGCGCUAGUUUAGGACAAACAGAGGUCGAAGACCCCAUGCACCCCGCAUAUUCCGCAUCCCCGAUUUCAGGCAGCGAUCGAGGGCCGCGGCGACAAAGUGCAAGCGCCGCGGAACACGAAAGCCGCCUAUGGGUUCACCCGAAGCCGCACCGUGCGAACGGGCAGCACCGAGGCGAACGGUACAAAUUUUAACCCACGAAUUCCAUCGAAACAGGUACGCGACACAGGAAACCGGACACGGGAACGAGGCUGCCGUAGCUCUCGCCCCAACAAUUGAAAGGAGCGCACGACAGACGUCGCUGCACAGGGCAGGGAUCC
Molecule: unclassified non-coding RNA, 393 nt
Filed under: Hindsia irwinii
Lineage: Eukaryota; Viridiplantae; Streptophyta; Magnoliopsida; Gentianales; Rubiaceae
Description: partial external transcribed spacer
Source: RNAcentral